RNAcentral lists this transfer RNA (83 nucleotides) under Malawimonas jakobiformis. Its description in RNAcentral is "tRNA-Tyr". It matches the Rfam family "tRNA". From Rfam's summary of the family: Transfer RNA (tRNA) molecules are approximately 80 nucleotides in length. Their secondary structure includes four short double-helical elements and three loops (D, anti-codon, and T loops). Lineage: Eukaryota; Malawimonada; Malawimonadea; Malawimonadida; Malawimonadidae. The record is from RNAcentral.
GGAAAGGUGGCCGAGUGGUUUAAGGCGGUGGACUGUAAAUCCAUUGUUUAAUGACAACGCAGGUUCGAAUCCUGCCUUUUCCA